AUUCAGCGGCGGACGGGUGAGUAAUGCCUAGGAAUCUGCCUGGUAGUGGGGGACAACGUUUCGAAAGGAACGCUAAUACCGCAUACGUCCUACGGGAGAAAGCAGGGGACCUUCGGGCCUUGCGCUAUCAGAUGAGCCUAGGUCGGAUUAGCUAGUUGGUGAGGUAAUGGCUCACCAAGGCGACGAUCCGUAACUGGUCUGAGAGGAUGAUCAGUCACACUGGAACUGAGACACGGUCCAGACUCCUACGGGAGGCAGCAGUGGGGAAUAUUGGACAAUGGGCGAAAGCCUGAUCCAGCCAUGCCGCGUGUGUGAAGAAGGUCUUCGGAUUGUAAAGCACUUUAAGUUGGGAGGAAGGGCAGUAAGCGAAUACCUUGCUGUUUUGACGUUACCGACAGAAUAAGCACCGGCUAACUCUGUGCCAGCCGCCGCGGUAAUUCGUCGUG
RNAcentral lists this ribosomal RNA (446 nucleotides) under Pseudomonas oryzihabitans. Its description in RNAcentral is "bacterial SSU rRNA". It matches the Rfam family "Bacterial small subunit ribosomal RNA", at positions 90 to 532 of the family's 1533-position model. The record is from RNAcentral. Lineage: Bacteria; Pseudomonadati; Pseudomonadota; Gammaproteobacteria; Pseudomonadales; Pseudomonadaceae.